This 305-nucleotide ribosomal RNA is filed under the name uncultured bacterium. RNAcentral's name for it is "bacterial SSU rRNA". It matches the Rfam family "Bacterial small subunit ribosomal RNA", at positions 332 to 653 of the family's 1533-position model. The record is from RNAcentral.
UAUAGCCUACGGGACGCAGCAGUGGGGAAUAUUGCACAAUGGGCGAAAGCCUGAUGCAGCAACGCCGCGUGAAGGAAGAAGGCCUUCGGGUCGUAAACUUCUGUCCUUGGGGAAGAAGAACUGACGGUACCCAAGGAGGAAGCCCCGGCUAACUACGUGCCAGCAGCCGCGGUAAUACGUAGGGGGCAAGCGUUAUCCGGAUUUACUGGGUGUAAAGGGAGCGCAGGCGGCGCGGUAAGUCUGAUGUGAAAGCCCGGGGCUCAACCCCGGGACUGCAUUGGAAACUGUCGUGCUGGAGUGUCGGG